AUGUAAAGGCAGAUGGGAAAGUUGUGAGGGUGGAUGGGAAAGCUAAAAAAGCAAACUUGUGAAUGCAUAUAAGUGAUGUGAGAACUUGUAAUAAACAAUUUGGAUCGUUCACAUCUGAGUCCGUGCAUCAGAUGCUGCAAAUAGCACCUACCGUGUGGAACAAAUCAAGCUGAGGCUGAGUGAGCCCGGUCCAGCAGCACUGCCCAACUGAACUACAGAGAUUGUUUCGCGCCUACCUGCACCAUUCUGCAGGACAGAAGGUAUCAUUCAGCAAAUUGAAGGAUUUUUUCUUAAGGAAGUUAACAACCCUGUCUUGUUUGCACAGCUCAAGGGCUUGCUACAUAUUUCUUGGAUCUAUGUACCGUUGUAGGGAUGCACCAAUCCAGAGCUUGGAAGAAGUGAUGCUUCACUGUCAACCAACUCUCUCUGGCCCCCUGUCCUUCCAAUGCUCAGCUAGACAUCGGUGUCUAAUCUCUUUGAUUGGACUUUCCUUGGGCUGCA
This is a long non-coding RNA of Gallus gallus (chicken), 501 nucleotides long. Lineage: Eukaryota; Metazoa; Chordata; Aves; Galliformes; Phasianidae. The record is from Ensembl.